AACGCACAUUGCGCCCCUUGGUAUUCCGGGGGGCAUGCCUGUUCGAGCGUCAUUUCAACCCUCAAGCGCAGCUUGGUCUUGGGCCCUGCCGGCAACGGCUGGCCUUAAAAGCAGUGGCGGCGCCAUCGAGCUCUACGCGUAGUAAUUCUACCCUCGCGUGUGAGUCCCGGUGGCCGCUGGCCAGCAACCCCCAAUUUUUUACUGGUUGACCUCGAAUCAGGUAGGGAUACCCGCUGAACUUAA
RNAcentral lists this unclassified non-coding RNA (243 nucleotides) under uncultured Calycellina. Its description in RNAcentral is "partial contains 5.8S ribosomal RNA, internal transcribed spacer 2, and large subunit ribosomal RNA". Lineage: Eukaryota; Fungi; Ascomycota; Leotiomycetes; Helotiales; Hyaloscyphaceae. The record is from RNAcentral.